RNAcentral lists this ribosomal RNA (528 nucleotides) under uncultured euryarchaeote. Its description in RNAcentral is "bacterial SSU rRNA". It matches the Rfam family "Archaeal small subunit ribosomal RNA", at positions 339 to 868 of the family's 1478-position model. Lineage: Archaea; Methanobacteriati; Methanobacteriota. The record is from RNAcentral.
GCGCGGAACCUUUACAAUGGGCGAAAGUCUGAUAAGGGGACCUUAAGUGCUAAUGUUUUACAUUAGCUUUUUUUAAGAGUAAAUAUCUUGGAGAAUAAGUGGUGGGUAAGACUGGUGCCAGCAGCCGCGGUAACACCAGCGCCACGAGUGGCAAUCAUUUUUAUUGGGCCUAAAGCGUCCGUAGCCUGUCUAGUAAAUCUUUUGUGAAAUCGUUAAGCUUAACUUACCGACGUGCAGAAGAGACUGCUAGACUAGGAACCGGGAAGAGUCAGAAGAAUUUUGGGGGGAGCGGUAAAAUGCUAUAAUCCUCGAAAGACUACCAGUGGUGAAGACGUCUGACUAGCACGGAUUCGACGGUGAGGGACGAAAGCCAGGGGAGCAAACCGGAUUAGAUACCCGAGUAGUCCUGGCCCUAAACUCUGCGAGCUAGGUGUUGCAUAUUCUCCGUGAAUAUGCAGUAUCGGAGCGAAGGCGUUAAGCUCGCCGCCUGGGAAGUAUGGUCGCAAGACUGAAACUUAAAGGAAUUGG